CAUACCAUUUGCAAAAGAAAACAACCAAAGGUAUUGCAAAUAAGGGAAUGUCCAGUCUUUUUUAGUAGCCACUAAGUCACAAACACUGGCCAAAGUUAGCGUUCAUAAUAGUUUUUUUUGAAUUUUUAACACAAACAAAUAGAAAUGCUAAAUUUGGACAGUGUUUCUGACUAAGUGGCUACUAAAAAGACUGGACAUACCACAUACUUGGGUUGUCUACUUUAUGUCAUAUGAGGUG
Molecule: non-coding RNA, 238 nt
Organism: Pelobates cultripes (western spadefoot toad)
Lineage: Eukaryota; Metazoa; Chordata; Amphibia; Anura; Pelobatidae
Source: the annotation of a GenBank genome assembly